Molecule: ribosomal RNA, 305 nt
Filed under: uncultured bacterium
Lineage: Bacteria
Description: partial 16S ribosomal RNA
Rfam family: Bacterial small subunit ribosomal RNA
Source: RNAcentral
ACAGCAGCAGCCGCGGUAAUACGUAGGGUGCGAGCGUUAAUCGGAAUUACUGGGCGUAAAGCGUGCGUAGGUGGUGGUUUAAGUCCGUUGUGAAAGCCCUGGGCUCAACCUGGGAAUUGCAGUGGAUACUGGAUCACUAGAGUGUGGUAGAGGAUAGUGGAAUUUCCGGUGUAGCAGUGAAAUGCGUAGAGAUCGGAAGGAACAUCUGUGGCGAAGGCGACUAUCUGGGCCAACACUGACACUGAGGCACGAAAGCGUGGGGAGCAAACAGGAUUAGAUACCCCCGUAGUCCCUGUCUCUUAUAA